UGUACUCCCAGGUCACAGUCCACCACUGGAGGAAGUCAGGGCAAGUACUGAAGGCAGAAACCCAGGCAGGGGCAGGAACUGAAGCAGAGGCUACCUUGCUGUAGGAGUGCUGGGAUCACAGAAGCUUACUGAAUCUAGCUUUUUCACAUGGAUUUCAAGGUCAGACUCAGGGGUCAGGCUUGAGCAGCAAGUGCUUUUACUCGUGGCACAUCUCACUGACCCCUUACCUCUUACUCUUAUGGGAACCAGGAAGGUUUGUGAAUGCCCUAUCCUGUCUGUACAGACACCAGUCAUAGGAGUGAUUCUAGUGGAGGAAGGGGUACAGUGACUUUGAUUGUUUAGUUCAAAGGCACUGUAUUGGUUCUUCUUUUUUUCUGUGAAUAAGUACCAUACAGGGGCAACUUCAGGGGGAAGGGUUUCUUUUGGCUUACGGUUGGAAGGGGUACAGCUCAUGGGGUGGAGAAAGCAUGGUGGGAGGAGCUGAGGGGGCUGGUGUGUGCACUCAGAAAACAGCUGGGUUUCUAGUCAGCUCCAAGGCAGCCCCACGGAUUUCCUCCUUCCAGCAAGACACAUCUGUUUCCAAAGGCUCACAACCUUCUGGAACGGUGCUGCCAGCCAAGGACCAGGUGUUCAAACAUGCUAGCCAAUGUGGGCAUGCUUUGUAUUCAGAACACCGCAGUACAGUUCCUGACAGUGAACACGGCCAAGCAGAGGGAGGCUCAGCUGCCUGGAUGAGCCUGCCCAGCCGGCCCGCAGUGGCUAGAAGGCUCCUUAUUCCUUUAGAGACCAUCCCACCUGGAAGACCCCUGCUGUUGGACUUUCUCUACUAUAGACAUUCUGCAUUCUUACCCAAGUCCUGGAAUCCCAACUCCAUCUCCUCAUCACCAAGAAACACCUGCCCCAAAGCCACGAAAGAGGUCAUAAAAA
Molecule: long non-coding RNA, 927 nt
Organism: Mesocricetus auratus (golden hamster)
Lineage: Eukaryota; Metazoa; Chordata; Mammalia; Rodentia; Cricetidae
Exons: 3
Source: RefSeq, a predicted model, not a curated record